This 459-nucleotide ribosomal RNA is filed under the name uncultured bacterium. Its description in RNAcentral is "SSU rRNA". It matches the Rfam family "Bacterial small subunit ribosomal RNA", at positions 26 to 518 of the family's 1533-position model. The record is from RNAcentral.
AGAAUCAACGCUGGCGGCGUGCCUAACACAUGCAAGUCGAACGAGAAAGUGGAGCAAUCCAUGAGUAAAGUGGCGCACGGGUGAGUAACACGUGACUAACCUACCCUGGAGUGGGGGAUAACUGAGGGAAACCUUAGCUAAUACCGCAUAAUACCUACGGGUCAAAGGAGCAAUUCGCUUCAGGAGGGGGUCGCGGCCGAUUAGUUAGUUGGCGGGGUAAUGGCCCACCAAGACAGUGAUCGGUAUCCGGCCUGAGAGGGCGCACGGACACACUGGAACUGAAACACGGUCCAGACUCCUACGGGAGGCAGCAGUGGGGAAUUUGCGCAAUGGGGGAAACCCUGACGCAGCAACGCCGCGUGGAGGAUGAGGUCCCUUGGGACGUAAACUCCUUUCGAUCGGGACGAUUAUGACGGUACCGGAAGAAGAACGCCCGGCUAACUUCGUGCCAGCAGCCGC